This is a long non-coding RNA of Anguilla rostrata (American eel), 363 nucleotides long. RefSeq lists it as uncharacterized. NCBI's taxonomy places the organism in Eukaryota, Metazoa, Chordata, Actinopteri, Anguilliformes, Anguillidae. The transcript is spliced from 2 exons. The record is from RefSeq and is a predicted model, not a curated record.
UCCCGAGUUGUUGUACCCCCACGCGUACACCUGCAUGGGGUGAGGGGGGUGAGAGGGGCGACUGGUCACCGAAGGGGUCCAGAGACGGGUGCAGCCCAAUCAACAAACUUUCAGCUGACUUCCCUGUAGGACAGCCAGGACGGGAGAGACGGGGGUGUGAUCGGCACCUCUCCAUCCAAGGUGCGGGCGAUGGUGUGAUGGGAACCACAGGCCACCUCCACCACCUUCUUGUUGAGCAGGUUGGUGGACACGUGGGCGGGGAUCAUGCCGUGGUUGGUGGUGCCGUUCCCCAGCUGACUGUAGCCGUUGUGGCCCCAGGCGUACACCUCUCCAUCUACAGGGGACGAGGAAAAAAAUUGGGCU